GCAAUUUGUAGCCAACGUGGAGCAGACCAUGGAUUUAGAUCAUAUCCUCUGCCCACAUUUAAGAAAGAUUUAUGUAGUCUUUAUUUCCUGAACCUCCCUUUACAAAUAACAUGCCAUUCACCAGAUUAUGUGGAGAUAACAUGCCAUUCACCAGAUUAUGUGGACAACUUCUUUCUUUAAGAAAUAAUUAUUCAUGCAUAACAUGUAUUACUUUCAUUUAUAUCAUUACAACCAAAUAGAAGUGAAGACCAAUUAAUUGUUUCGUAGAAACUAGUCACUACUGAGAUACAAAUACCCUAAAUAACACAUUUUGUAACUUCACAUCAUAUCUCAAGCCCCUACAACAUGCGGUCCACCUGUGUCCCAAACAAUUUCAAAACAAUGUAUAAACCUUAAAAUGAGUUUGUGCACUGGACAUAAACUACUUUUCUUUAUAGCUUUGUACCCCAACCCCACUCUGUUUCCAGAAUAAAAUAUUGCCUACAAAAUAAAAUAAAAAUAUCAUCUAUUUAACUCGAAUCAAAUGGUAGCACCAGCACGAUUAAAUCUCAGGGCAUCAAGUAUCGUGACUAAUUUCUGGUAACAAAAUAUUUAUAAAGCCCGAAUUCUUAAUUUAAUAACAGUUUGAAAUUUAAUCAGUUU
RNAcentral lists this long non-coding RNA (642 nucleotides) under Panax ginseng (ginseng). RNAcentral's name for it is "long non-coding RNA (PGIN_LNC008579)". The record is from RNAcentral. Lineage: Eukaryota; Viridiplantae; Streptophyta; Magnoliopsida; Apiales; Araliaceae.